This 424-nucleotide ribosomal RNA is filed under the name uncultured bacterium. Its description in RNAcentral is "bacterial SSU rRNA". It matches the Rfam family "Bacterial small subunit ribosomal RNA", at positions 359 to 776 of the family's 1533-position model. The record is from RNAcentral.
GAGGCUUCGGCAAUGGGGGAAACCCUGACCGAGCGACGCCGCGUGCGGGAUGAAGGCCUUCGGGUUGUAAACCGCUGUCAGGAGGGAAGAAUCCUCCCGGGCGAAUACCCCGGGAGUUGACGGUACCUCCAGAGGAAGCUCCGGCUAACUCCGUGCCAGCAGCCGCGGUAAUACGGAGGGAGCGAACGUUGUUCGGAUUUACUGGGCGUAAAGGGCGUGUAGGCGGUUUGGCAAGUCGGGGGUGAAAUGCCUCGGCUCAGCCGGGGACCUGCCUUCGAAACUGCCGAACUUGAGGCCGUGAGAGGAGACUGGAAUUCCUAGUGUAGCGGUGAAAUGCAUAGAUAUUAGGAAGAACACCAGUGGCGAAGGCGAGUCUCUGGCACGGUUCUGACGCUGAUGCGCGAAAGCUAGGGGAGCAAACGGG